AGUGAACGCUGGCGGUAGGCCUAACACAUGCAAGUCGAACGGCAGCACAGUAAGAGCUUGCUCUUACGGGUGGCGAGUGGCGGACGGGUGAGGAAUACAUCGGAAUCUACUUUUUCGUGGGGGAUAACGUAGGGAAACUUACGCUAAUACCGCAUACGAUCUACGGGUGAAAGCAGGGGAACGUCGCACCUUGCGGGAUUGAAUGAGCCGAUGUCGGAUUAGCUAGUUGGCGGGGUAAAGGCCCACCAAGGCGACGAUCCGUAGCUGGUCGGAGAGGAGGAUCGGCCACACUGGAACUGGGACACGGACCAGACUCCUACGGGAGGCAGCAGUGGGGAAUAUGGGACAAUGGGCGCAAGCCUGAUCCAGCCAUACCGCGUGGGUGAAGAAGGCCUUCGGGUUGUAAAGCCCUUUUGUUGGGAAAGAAAAGCAGCAGGUUAAUACCCCGCUGUUCUGACGGUACCCAGAGAAUAAGCACCGGCUAACUUCGUG
RNAcentral lists this ribosomal RNA (492 nucleotides) under uncultured bacterium. RNAcentral's name for it is "partial 16S ribosomal RNA". It matches the Rfam family "Bacterial small subunit ribosomal RNA", at positions 29 to 507 of the family's 1533-position model. The record is from RNAcentral.